GAUGAACGCUGGCGGCGUGCCUAAUACAUGCAAGUCGAGCGAACGGACGAGAAGCUUGCUUCUCUGAUGUUAGCGGCGGACGGGUGAGUAAAACGGGGAUAACCUACCUAUAAGACUGGGAUAACUUCGGGAAACCGGAGCUAAUACCGGAUAAUAUUUUGAACCGCAUGGUUCAAAAGUGAAAGACGGUCUUGCUGUAACUUAUAGAUGGAUCCGCGCUGCAUUAGCUAGUUGGUAAGGUAACGGCUUACCAAGGCAACGAUGCAUAGCCGACCUGAGAGGGUGAUCGGCCACACUGGAACUGAGACACGGUCCAGACUCCUACGGGAGGCAGCAGUAGGGAAUCUUCCGCAAUGGGCGAAAGCCUGACGGAGCGACGCCGCGUGAGUGAUGAAGGUCUUCGGAUCUUAAAACUCUGUUAUUAGGGAAGAACAUAUGUGUAAGUAACUGUGCACAUCUUGACGGUACCUAAUCAGAAAGCCACGGCUAACUACGUG
This 497-nucleotide ribosomal RNA is filed under the name uncultured bacterium. Its description in RNAcentral is "partial 16S ribosomal RNA". It matches the Rfam family "Bacterial small subunit ribosomal RNA", at positions 28 to 507 of the family's 1533-position model. The record is from RNAcentral.